GAAAUGCGAUAAGUAAUGUGAAUUGCAGAAUUCAGUGAAUCAUCGAAUCUUUGAACGCACCUUGCGCCCUUUGGCUAUUCCGAAGGGCAUGCCUGUUUGAGUAUCAUGAACACCUCAACUCUCAUGGUCCGCCAUGAUGAGCUUGGACUUUGGGGGUCUUGCCGGCCUAACCGUCGGCUCCUCUCAAAUGAAUCAGCUUGCCAGUGUUUGGUGGCAUCACGGGUGUGAUAACUAUCUACGCCUGCGCUCUUCCACCAGGUAACCUUCAGUGAUGGAGGUUCGCUGGAGCUCACAGACGUCCUCUUCCCAUGGAGGACAGCUUUUGAACGUUUGAUCUCAAAUCAGGUAGGACUACCCGCUGAACUUAA
Molecule: unclassified non-coding RNA, 368 nt
Filed under: uncultured Tomentella
Lineage: Eukaryota; Fungi; Basidiomycota; Agaricomycetes; Thelephorales; Thelephoraceae
Description: sequence contains ITS1
Rfam family: 5.8S ribosomal RNA (bases 1-106)
Source: RNAcentral